RNAcentral lists this ribosomal RNA (497 nucleotides) under uncultured bacterium. RNAcentral describes it as "partial 16S ribosomal RNA". It matches the Rfam family "Bacterial small subunit ribosomal RNA", at positions 28 to 507 of the family's 1533-position model. The record is from RNAcentral.
GACGAACGCUGGCGGCGUGCCUAAUACAUGCAAGUUGAGCGCUGAAGGUUGGUACUUGUACCGACUGGAUGAGCAGCGAACGGGUGAGUAACGCGUGGGGAAUCUGCCUUUGAGCGGGGGACAACAUUUGGAAACGAAUGCUAAUACCGCAUAAAAACUUUAAACACAAGUUUUAAGUUUGAAAGAUGCAAUUGCAUCACUCAAAGAUGAUCCCGCGUUGUAUUAGCUAGUUGGUGAGGUAAAGGCUCACCAAGGCGAUGAUACAUAGCCGACCUGAGAGGGUGAUCGGCCACAUUGGGACUGAGACACGGCCCAAACUCCUACGGGAGGCAACAGUAGGGAAUCUUCGGCAAUGGACGAAAGUCUGACCGAGCAACGCCGCGUGAGUGAAGAGGGUUUUCGGAUCGUAAAACUCUGUUGGUAGAGAAGAACGUUGGUGAGAGUGGAAAGCUCAUCAAGUGACGGUAACUACCCAGAAAGGGACGGCUAACUACGUG